ACCUAUCAUUCUUAUUAUUCCGAGACGCUGCAGAGAAGGUUACUCUUGUUAUCAUUGCUGGGUACUUGUUUCUGAAAUUUUUCUUCCAAAAAAGCCUUAUGGAGUUAGACUCUUUCAUAUUUACGUGCGCGUUAUCGCCGAGUUUAUCAUGAAGAUGCGUCUUAAAGAGGGUCUCUACCAUACUGGAAAACAAAUGAGAUGAAAAGUGGAAGUCUGUAAAGUGGUGUGAAAAUGAAAGGCGAGAGUCAGUCGAGUGAGUAUCUCCGACCCGAUAAAAACUAUUUGUCACCAACAGCAUUUUUCCUAUUUAUAAUCAUAGUCAACUAUAGCGUCGUUCUGCUGUUGGUAAUCGUUGAUGGAUGGGUCAACCACUGGUGUACCAAUGUCUCCUGGGGAUGGCGGAUACCGUACCGCAACGCCGACGUCUCACUACAAAACAACACUAAGAAGGCCGAAUGUUACACAGCCAUGUAUGCUGCCCAAGUUUUACAUUGCUCCAAGCUAUUACCAAAGAGAGGCUUCUGACUACACCAAGACCCCUAGUAUUACACCACAACCAACGCUUCUCCACUUACUAAACAAGUUAGUGUUGGCGUCGUGCUACUGUUAGGUGUUUCGUUGAUAGCGGGUCGACCACUGGUGUACCGAACUCUACCAACGUUGGGUGAGAUGAUUAAGA
Daphnia pulicaria is the source of this 679-nucleotide long non-coding RNA. RefSeq lists it as uncharacterized. The record is from RefSeq and is a predicted model, not a curated record. Lineage: Eukaryota; Metazoa; Arthropoda; Branchiopoda; Diplostraca; Daphniidae. The transcript has 5 exons.